RNAcentral lists this ribosomal RNA (492 nucleotides) under uncultured bacterium. RNAcentral describes it as "partial 16S ribosomal RNA". It matches the Rfam family "Bacterial small subunit ribosomal RNA", at positions 28 to 507 of the family's 1533-position model. The record is from RNAcentral.
GAUGAACGCUAGCUACAGGCUUAACACAUGCAAGUCGAGGGGCAGCGGUAUCGAAAGCUUGCUUUCGGUAGCCGGCGACCGGCGCACGGGUGAGUAACGCGUAUCGAACCUGCCUCAUACUCGGGAAUAGCCUUGCGAAAGUAAGAUUAAUGCCCGGUGUUUUCAGAGUCCCGCAUGAGGCUUUGAACAAAGUUUUAUCGGUAUGAGAUGGCGAUGCGUCCCAUUAGCUUGUUGGCGGGGUAACGGCCCACCAAGGCAUCGAUGGGUAGGGGUUCUGAGAGGAAGGUCCCCCACAGUGGAACUGAGACACGGUCCAAACUCCUACGGGAGGCAGCAGUGAGGAAUAUUGGUCAAUGGGCGGAAGCCUGAACCAGCCAAGUAGCGUGCAGGAAGACGGCCCUCCGGGUUGUAAACUGCUUUUAGUUGGGAAUAAAACGGGGCUCGUGAGCCCCCUUGCAUGUACCAUCAGAAAAAGGACCGGCUAAUUCCGUG